GGGCGCCAGACGGUCGCAGGCGCGUCAGCGCUUGAGGAAAGUCCGAGCACCGCAGGGCAGGGUGCCGGUUAACUGCCGGUGGAGGCGACUCCAAGGAAAGUGCAACAGAAAUAGUCCGCGAAUCUUCUUCGGAAGACGCAAGGGUGGAAAGGCGAGGCAAGAGCUCACCCGCGGCCUGGCGACUGGCCCGCGCUGUAAACCCCACCUGGUGCAAGAUUGAUAGGGAAGCAUGGGGCGGAACCCUCGGGUUUCCCCCGGCGGCGGCCCGUCGCGCUUCCGGGUAAUCGCUAGAGCCUGCUGGCAACCGCAGGCCCAGAUAGAUGACCGUCCAAUACAGAACUCGGCUUACAGACG
RNAcentral lists this RNase P RNA (354 nucleotides) under bovine gut metagenome. RNAcentral describes it as "Bacterial RNase P class A". It matches the Rfam family "Bacterial RNase P class A". From Rfam's summary of the family: Ribonuclease P (RNase P) is a ubiquitous endoribonuclease, found in archaea, bacteria and eukarya as well as chloroplasts and mitochondria. Its best characterised activity is the generation of mature 5'-ends of tRNAs by cleaving the 5'-leader elements of precursor-tRNAs. The record is from RNAcentral.